AGUUAUGAAGUUAGAGAGGACUCAAAAGCGAGAGUGACAAUUACAGUUCUUUAAUAGAAUCAGAAAGUCUGACCACAGGGAUGACCAGAAGGCUGGGGAGGCAGCAGCUCUCAUAGCUCACGGAGAGACGGAUGGAACUGGAUAUGGACGGAGAGCACAGAGCUGGUAAUUAGCUGCAGUCUUUAGCAGAUGGAGGGGCUUAAAAUCCUGGACUUUUGGGGCUUCACAAGAUACCUGCACCAUCGUGGUCAAUGGGAUACACCGGCCACACCCAUCUCUCCAGACACGAUGGCCGACUCUACGCAUGUGUCUCCAGACAAG
Molecule: long non-coding RNA, 321 nt
Organism: Carassius carassius (crucian carp)
Lineage: Eukaryota; Metazoa; Chordata; Actinopteri; Cypriniformes; Cyprinidae
Exons: 3
Source: RefSeq, a predicted model, not a curated record